Molecule: ribosomal RNA, 510 nt
Filed under: uncultured bacterium
Lineage: Bacteria
Description: partial 16S ribosomal RNA
Rfam family: Bacterial small subunit ribosomal RNA
Source: RNAcentral
GACGAACGCUGGCGGCGUGCUUAACACAUGCAAGUCGAACGAAGAGCGACGGAAGCUUGCUUCUAUCAAUCUUAGUGGCGAACGGGUGAGUAACGCGUAAUCAACCUGCCCUUCAGAGGGGGACAGCAGUUGGAAACGACUGCUAAUACCGCAUACGAUCUAACCUCGGCAUCGAGGAUAGAUGAAAGGUGGCCUCUACAUGUAAGCUAUCACUGAAGGAGGGGAUUGCGGCUGAUUCGCUAGAUGGAGGGGUAACGGCCCACCAAGGCGAUGAUCAGUAGCCGGUCUGAGAGGAUGAACGGCCACAUUGGGACUGAGACACGGCCCAGACGCCUACGGGAGGCAGCAGGGGGGAAUCUUCCGCAAGGGACGAAAGACUGACGGAGCAACGCCGCGGGAGGGAUGACGGCCUUCGGGUUGUAAAGCUCUGUUAAUCGGGACGAAAGGCCUUCUUGCGAAUAGUGAGAAGGAUUGACGGUACCGGAAUAGAAAGCCACGGCUAACUACGUG